This 328-nucleotide ribosomal RNA is filed under the name uncultured eukaryote. RNAcentral's name for it is "partial 18S ribosomal RNA". It matches the Rfam family "Eukaryotic small subunit ribosomal RNA", at positions 1470 to 1796 of the family's 1831-position model. The record is from RNAcentral.
CCCUUAGAUGUCCUGGGCCGCACGCGCGCUACACUGAUGCAUUCAACGAGCUUAUAACCUUGGCCGAGAGGCCUGGGCAAUCUUGCUAACGUGCAUCGUGAUAGGGAUAGAUUAUUGAAAUUAUUAAUCUUGAACGAGGAAUUCCUAGUAAACGCAGAUCAUCAAUCUGCAUUGAUUACGUCCCUGCCCUUUGUACACACCGCCCGUCGCACCUACCGAUUGGAUGGUCCGGUGAAGCCUCGGGAUUGUGGUUCUUGCCGCUUUAUUGUGGCGUGACCGCGAGAACUUGUCUAAACCUUAUCAUCUAGAGGAAGGUGAAGUCGUAACA